Molecule: ribosomal RNA, 1472 nt
Filed under: Enterobacter hormaechei
Lineage: Bacteria; Pseudomonadati; Pseudomonadota; Gammaproteobacteria; Enterobacterales; Enterobacteriaceae
Description: 16S ribosomal RNA
Rfam family: Bacterial small subunit ribosomal RNA
Source: RNAcentral
UCAGAACGAACGCUGGCGGCAGGCCUAACACAUGCAAGUCGAACGGUAACAGGAAGCAGCUUGCUGCUUCGCUGACGAGUGGCGGACGGGUGAGUAAUGUCUGGGAAACUGCCUGAUGGAGGGGGAUAACUACUGGAAACGGUAGCUAAUACCGCAUAAUGUCGCAAGACCAAAGAGGGGGACCUUCGGGCCUCUUGCCAUCGGAUGUGCCCAGAUGGGAUUAGCUAGUAGGUGGGGUAACGGCUCACCUAGGCGACGAUCCCUAGCUGGUCUGAGAGGAUGACCAGCCACACUGGAACUGAGACACGGUCCAGACUCCUACGGGAGGCAGCAGUGGGGAAUAUUGCACAAUGGGCGCAAGCCUGAUGCAGCCAUGCCGCGUGUAUGAAGAAGGCCUUCGGGUUGUAAAGUACUUUCAGCGGGGAGGAAGGCGAUAAGGUUAAUAACCUUGUCGAUUGACGUUACCCGCAGAAGAAGCACCGGCUAACUCCGUGCCAGCAGCCGCGGUAAUACGGAGGGUGCAAGCGUUAAUCGGAAUUACUGGGCGUAAAGCGCACGCAGGCGGUCUGUCAAGUCGGAUGUGAAAUCCCCGGGCUCAACCUGGGAACUGCAUUCGAAACUGGCAGGCUAGAGUCUUGUAGAGGGGGGUAGAAUUCCAGGUGUAGCGGUGAAAUGCGUAGAGAUCUGGAGGAAUACCGGUGGCGAAGGCGGCCCCCUGGACAAAGACUGACGCUCAGGUGCGAAUUAGAUACCCUGGUAGUCCACGCCGUAAACGAUGUCGACUUGGAGGUUGUGCCCUUGAGGCGUGGCUUCCGGAGCUAACGCGUUAAGUCGACCGCCUGGGGAGUACGGCCGCAAGGUUAAAACUCAAAUGAAUUGACGGGGGCCCGCACAAGCAGUGGAGCAUGUGGUUUAAUUCGAUGCAACGCGAAGAACCUUACCUACUCUUGACAUCCAGAGAACUUUCCAGAGAUGGAUUGGUGCCUUCGGGAACUCUGAGACAGGUGCUGCAUGGCUGUCGUCAGCUCGUGUUGUGAAAUGUUGGGUUAAGUCCCGCAACGAGCGCAACCCUUAUCCUUUGUUGCCAGCGAUUCGGUCGGGAACUCAAAGGAGACUGCCAGUGAUAAACUGGAGGAAGGUGGGGAUGACGUCAAGUCAUCAUGGCCCUUACGAGUAGGGCUACACACGUGCUACAAUGGCGCAUACAAAGAGAAGCGACCUCGCGAGAGCAAGCGGACCUCAUAAAGUGCGUCGUAGUCCGGAUUGGAGUCUGCAACUCGACUCCAUGAAGUCGGAAUCGCUAGUAAUCGUGGAUCAGAAUGCCACGGUGAAUACGUUCCCGGGCCUUGUACACACCGCCCGUCACACCAUGGGAGUGGGUUGCAAAAGAAGUAGGUAGCUUAACCUUCGGGAGGGCGCUUACCACUUUGUGAUUCAUGACUGGGGUGAAGUCGUAACAAGGUAGCCGUAGG